Molecule: small RNA, 32 nt
Filed under: Eutreptiella gymnastica
Lineage: Eukaryota; Euglenozoa; Euglenophyceae; Eutreptiales; Eutreptiaceae
Description: partial Mitochondrion-encoded tmRNA
Source: RNAcentral
CCGAAGUUGGUAUUUGGCAUUUCCAUUUUUUC